Molecule: ribosomal RNA, 817 nt
Filed under: uncultured bacterium
Lineage: Bacteria
Description: bacterial SSU rRNA
Rfam family: Bacterial small subunit ribosomal RNA
Source: RNAcentral
AGCUUGCUUUUGAUGGGCGUCGACCGGCGCACGGGUGAGUAACGCGUAUCCAACCUGCCCACCACUUGGGGAUAACCUUGCGAAAGUAAGACUAAUACCCAAUGAUAUCUCUAGAAGACAUCUGAAGGAGAUUAAAGAUUUAUCGGUGAUGGAUGGGGAUGCGUCUGAUUAGCUUGUUGGCGGGGUAACGGCCCACCAAGGCGACGAUCAGUAGGGGUUCUGAGAGGAAGGUCCCCCACAUUGGAACUGAGACACGGUCCAAACUCCUACGGGAGGCAGCAGUGAGGAAUAUUGGUCAAUGGGCGAGAGCCUGAACCAGCCAAGUAGCGUGCAGGAUGACGGCCCUAUGGGUUGUAAACUGCUUUUAUAAGGGAAUAAAGUGAGUCUCGUGAGACUUUUUGCAUGUACCUUAUGAAUAAGGACCGGCUAAUUCCGUGCCAGCAGCCGCGGUAAUACGGAAGGUCCGGGCGUUAUCCGGAUUUAUUGGGUUUAAAGGGAGCGUAGGCCGGAGAUUAAGCGUGUUGUGAAAUGUAGACGCUCAACGUCUGCACUGCAGCGCGAACUGGUUUCCUUGAGUACGCACAAAGUGGGCGGAAUUCGUGGUGUAGCGGUGAAAUGCUUAGAUAUCACGAAGAACUCCGAUUGCGAAGGCAGCUCACUGGAGCGCAACUGACGCUGAAGCUCGAAAGUGCGGGUAUCGAACAGGAUUAGAUACCCCGGUAGUCCGCACGGUAAACGAUGGAUGCCCGCUGUUGGUCUGAAUAGGUCAGCGGCCAAGCGAAAGCAUUAAGCAUCCCACCUGGGGAGUACGCCGGCA